Polypterus senegalus (gray bichir) is the source of this 1172-nucleotide long non-coding RNA. RefSeq lists it as uncharacterized. The record is from RefSeq and is a predicted model, not a curated record. The transcript is spliced from 2 exons. NCBI's taxonomy places the organism in Eukaryota, Metazoa, Chordata, Cladistia, Polypteriformes, Polypteridae.
UACCACAUUGCCUUCCUGCUCCCUAAUAAAGUAAAAGGCAGAAUAAAUUUAUGCUAGAUUAAAAAUGUAAUUCCUCUGUACCAUCUCAUGUCUAAUUUUGCUGAAUACCUGACCCAAGAAAACUUAACAUUUAUCUCCAACUUUACUUCUUGAUUAUGUACUCAGCUCAAACUGUGUCUUUUGCUUUUCAUUUUUCUUUGAGUCCAGCACUAGGACACACAGCUGGGUAAGACAUGUGUUUGCUUUUAAGCAGGCGGAGGAAUGCUGUUCAAGUUGUCACACACCCCCACAACCCUCCCCCAGCUCUCCCCCUCCCCCUCUCCAUCUAUCUGUACCUCUGAGACGGGCACAACCUUUUUUUAUAACUGCUGCACAGGCACGGCCGAAAGAUCCACAAAGACUUACAGCAACUUCUCAUUGAAAGCAUGGAACAAAGUGAUCAGAAAGAGCCCAGGGGGUACUGUUCUGGAGCUACAGUGAUUGAAAUCGAGCAGGAUCCAACUCUGGUGAAGGACCAUAUCCUGUGGUCUAUCUUCAGUUUCCAUUACCUGAACUGCUGCUGCCUUGGUUUUAUUGCUUUGUGGUACUCCAUUAAAUCUCGUGACCAGAAACAUGCAAAAAACUUGACACUGGCCAGAGAGUUUGGACUUACUGCAAAGCGACUGAAUAUUGUCACCACAGUCUUGACAAUCAUUACUUAUGUGAUUGUGAUUGCAAUUUAUGCUGCCACAAUAAUUACCAUGAUUUCACAGUUAAAACAGAGGAAUUAAAGAAUAAUCACGUUACGACUUUUUUCUAGCACCACGCAAAUUGGAGAGCCUAUAUGUUAUCUCCCUUAAUCCUGUAUUUGUUGUAGAUUGUCAACUAAUAUCCAGCAUUGCAUUUUUCUAUUUGUGCAUAUUAACAUAGAUUCAUAGUCUCUAGGUAUUACACUGUUGUAUAUCUAAUUUCUUAAAUGGUACAUUCUAUGGACUUUCCUGAAAAUGACUCUGUACUGAAUGCCUGGCAGCUUCUUACCAAAUAUUGAAGCCUGUAAUGCAAAUCGCAGGAAUCUUGGAUAUUUUGUGUAUUGCCAAUGUAAUCUAAAACCUACGUUUGCUUAUGUACUACAAAUUGUAUUUUUUUCACAUAUGUUUUGACAGUUUUAUACAUUAAAAUGUAUUGAAAACAAA